This is an unclassified non-coding RNA of Polistes dominula (European paper wasp), 3006 nucleotides long. The record is from RefSeq and is a predicted model, not a curated record. Lineage: Eukaryota; Metazoa; Arthropoda; Insecta; Hymenoptera; Vespidae.
UAUUGCAUUUGUCCUUAAACUAAUUAUUUUUGUUCUUACCACGAAAUUAAUUUCAUAGAAUCUCUGAUUUCAAGAUUAGGUAAGAACAUUUUAGACAUUUGCAAUUAAAUCGGAUUUUUUAUGAAAAGUAUUUAUUUAUUUUACACUUAGUAAUAUAUCUUGAAUAUCAACAUCAUAUUUGACAAGUGCAUUUGGUAUAAAUAUAUAUCUCCAUUUCAUUUAUAAUCAUUGUAUAAUUCCAAAAUAAAUAUUUUAAACUGAUUAUACUAAUUGAAGAAACUUAUUUGAUACCAAAAAUUUAUUUAUUCAAAUUUAUUUAUUUUUAAGUACUAGGUACCCGGACAUUUGUUAUAUAGAGUCAGAUAACAGACUGUAAUAAUAAAUCAUGCAUUUAAAAUACAUAGAUACACAAAACAUUUUGAAAAUCAUUCAAAAACAAUGUAUUAAGAUUAUAAGGAAGUCAUAUUUUAUUAUUUUUGUUAAUGUAUCUUGUAAAUUUAAUUUGAAUCGGAAAAUAACUGAAGUAGUUAUAUCUAAUCUUUUCUUAGAUAAUUUUUAUUAACUUUGUGCUUACUCAUACAUUACUACAAUCUCAGUAUAGAAUGAAACAUGGCGGCGUUACCUGUGAGGUUUCUUUCAGUUGCACAUGCAUUUACCAAGAAAACAUCAUUCAAUUUUUAUAAGCAUAAUAUACAAAUAGCGUGUACAACAACGGCACGAGCAUUUUCAAUGAAAACAAAUUCAAAUUUUGAGGAAAAGAAGAUCAAUGUCAAUGGCUUCGAUAUUAACUAUGUCAAAGUUGGUGUUGGUGACCAUACAGUCCUUUUAUUACCUGGUGCCUUAGGAACUGCCUGGACUGACUUUAAACCUCAACUGGAAAAUCUUGAUAAAAAUAAAUUAACCAUAGUAGCAUGGGAUCCACCUGGAUAUGGAAAAUCGAGACCACCUGACAGAAUAUUUUCUGAUGACUUUUUUCAACGCGAUGCCGAUUAUGCUUUUAAUUUAAUGAAAACUUUAGGAUAUAAAAAAUUUUCUUUAAUUGGUUGGAGUGAUGGUGGUAUCACAUCUCUCAUACUUGCUGCUAAAAAUCCUGAUAACAUUCGUAAGAUGGUCGUAUUUGGUGCGAAUUCUUACAUCAUUCCCGAAGAACUCAAAAUUUACGAAAGUAUUAGAAACAUCGACACGUGGUCGGAAAAAAUGAAACAACCAAUGAUUGAAGUUUAUGGAGAAGAGUAUUUUAGAAAUACUUGGUCCAGUUGGGUAGAUACUAUGAAAAAAAUUUACGAAAAAAACAAGGGUGAUAUAUGUAAAAACGAUUUGCCUAAAAUAAAGUGCCCUACUUUAAUUAUACAUGGGGCUAAAGAUGUUAUUGUAAAGCCAGAACAUCCAGAUUAUUUAAAAGAUCAUAUACUAAAUUCCAAAGUUACAAUAUUUGAAAAAGGAGCUCAUAAUUUACAUUUAAGAUAUCAAGACGAAUUUAAUGCCUUGACAACGAAGUUCCUAACUGAAGAUUAAAAAUAUCUUUUAUAUUGUCAUUUUUUUAAUAAGGACAAGUUUUACUAUAUUUGUACGUAUUCUAUUACUUCUACAUAGACAUAUAAUUGAAAUCUUCAUCCUACGAAGAGCGUGCAGGUCAGACAUAUUUAUCUUACUUAGGAACCUAGUAUCAUAACCGGAUCGUUGAACGUCACAAGUGAGAAAGGUAUAGAACUCGAAAUCGUUUUUGGUCGUGGCUCGCCGAAAGAGGCUUAACGUUUCCUUUGCCCACGCUGUAUCGCGAUUCUCCUUUCUCUGCUUGAGUUCUGAUGCCGGUUAUCCCACGUACGUCCUCCGUGCCAGGUCAUACGAUCGACGUGCCCGGUCGUAGCGAACCGACUAAGUACCUAGAGUGGUGCCUCUUAAAAAACAUAAAUCAAGUGUCACGGUAUUGAAUUUCACCUCUUCUAUAGCUCCUCUUUUCUAUUCUAAGAUGUUCGAACGAACAACAGUCUUAGCAAAUUGCUAUUGAUCCAUACUCCAUAAUAAAGAAUCUCUCUUACAAGUUUGUCAGCAUUUUUCUUCUUUAGCCAAACGAGCGAUAUUAUUUUUAAUUUCACAAAUAUUUCAUUAUUUUGAAGUCUUAUUAAAAGUUACAAGUAAUGAACGUGAUAAGUCAAAGGACAUAUAAUUGAUCAAAUCAUUUUAUUAAUUGUCCUAGAUUACUUUCUAUUUCUAUUACAAGAUUAACAAGAUUAUUAUUACGAUAACAAGCUGUUGUAAGUACGGGAAGUGUCGCUUAUGUAAUGCCAAGGCUAUGGAGUCAUUUGAUGAAGGUGAUUUUUAUGAAGGCGUUUACUUACGAGCUUCAUCGAGCUUUAAUAGAAAAACAUUGAACGAUGUCAUUUGCGAGGUUGCGUUUAAAGAGAGAGAAAGAGAGAAAGAGAGAGAGAGAGAGAGAGAGAGAGAGAGAGAGAGAGAGUGAAAGAGUACAACGAAUUCAACGAGCUAAUAAAGAAGUUCCUCUCGGGGCAGACAUAGUUCGACUAGUAGCUAUUUUCGUCGUAUGAAUAACAAAGAUUGCCAUAAAAACUUGAAAGCUCGUAAAGAGUAGUACGAUGCAAGUGAACUUUACAAGACGACGUAUAGGGUAAACGCAAGUCGAUAACUCGCGUGUACUCUCGCACAUGAGCGUACACACAUACAUAUAUAGACUUUGCUAACGCAUCGGUGUAUGUUUUAAAAAGGACGACCGUUUCCACGACGUCGACCAUUCCACUUGGACUCUGCUUGUUCGUUCGUUCGUCCGUUUUCUCGGCUCGUUUCUUUUCUGCCAACGACGUCGUAUAACUUUACGUAUAUACCGUUGCACUCACGCUCUCGACGUUAUAAAUUGCAAUUUCUCCGGCCACCAAAAGUGUAGGGCCGAGGAACCAUGGAGAGACUCCUCCCACACUCGUGCUUGAUAAAUUCGCAGAAGACGCAACGAUGGUUGAAAACAUUUUAUAAGAUUACAUAGUUGUUUGCAAA